CGCUAUCACUCCUACGGGAGGCAGCAGUAGGGAAUCUUCCACAAUGGACGAAAGUCUGAUGGAGCAACGCCGCGUGAGUGAAGAAGGGUUUCGGCUCGUAAAACUCUGUUGUUAAAGAAGAACAUAUCUGAGAGUAACUGUUCAGGUAUUGACGGUAUUUAACCAGAAAGCCACGGCUAACUACGUGCCAGCAGCCGCGGUAAUACGUAGGUGGCAAGCGUUGUCCGGAUUUAUUGGGCGUAAAGCGAGCGCAGGCGGUUUCUAAGUCUGAUGUGAAAGCCUUCGGCUUAACCGGGGAAGUGCAUCGGAAACUGGAUAACUUGAGUGCAGAAGAGGGUAGUGGAACUCCAUGUGUAGCGGUGGAAUGCGUAGAUAUAUGGAAGAACACCAGUGGCGAAGGCGGCUACCUGGUCUGCAACUGACGCUGAGACUCGAAAGCAUGGGUAGCGAACAGGAUUAGAUACCCUGGUAG
This 472-nucleotide ribosomal RNA is filed under the name uncultured bacterium. RNAcentral's name for it is "bacterial SSU rRNA". It matches the Rfam family "Bacterial small subunit ribosomal RNA", at positions 328 to 793 of the family's 1533-position model. The record is from RNAcentral.